Molecule: ribosomal RNA, 253 nt
Filed under: uncultured bacterium
Lineage: Bacteria
Description: partial 16S ribosomal RNA
Rfam family: Bacterial small subunit ribosomal RNA
Source: RNAcentral
UACAGAGGCCCCAAGCGUUAUCCGGAAUCACUGGGCGUAAAGGGUGUGUAGGUGGUCGUGUUAGUCGUUUGUUAAAUCUCCCGGCCUAACCGGGAACAUGCAAACGAAACGGCACAACUAGAGGAUGUGAGGGGUCUGUGGAACUCAUGGAGUAGGGGUAAAAUCCGUUGAUAUCAUGGGGAACACCAAAAGCGAAGGCAGCAGACUGGCGCAUUCCUGACACUGAAACACGAAAGCGUAGGUAGCGAAUGGG